GGGCUAGCAGGCCUUUCACUGAACUGUUGGUGGAGGAAGGGCACCCGCCAAUGUACGCAGGACAUCACCAUCAGCUUUGCGGGUCCCUAAGUCCCAGUCAUCACCCCAGGGAUUUCUGACUGGCCUUGUCUCUCCUCGGGCUCCAGGCUGACGAAAGGGCCUCUCCUCCAUCGCUGGUGGGAGUACACACUGGUUACAGCCUCUGCUGGGGGACGGGGACUGCAGCGACAUGUAUCAGAACCACAAACGCAUGAGACCUUUGAUCCAACGACUGCUCUUCUGGGCCUUUGUCCGGCAGAGACACACCUACGUGGAAAUGACACAGGAGCAAGUUGUCCAACGCUGUUACUGUACAAACGGAAAAACUGAGGCUCAGCUUAGGAAACUCGUGUACCCAGUGUCACCCAGUACAUCAGCCUCUGAGCAAUUCUGAAUCUAGCCCCUGAGCUUUUGCUCAUGCUGUUUCCUUUGUUCAAAUGCCCUUCCCUGCCAUUUUCACUCUUCCAGUCUGAGUGCACUGCUUCCAAGAAGCUUCCCAGACCUCCCGGUGGAAAUGACCUCUCAGCAUGCCUAGCACAUCCCUGCAGCACUGUGCAAAUUCCUGCCUUCUCCAAUAGCUGCUGGGAGCUCUCUGAGGAGAGACUUGGCCUUCUUCUCUGGAGCCCGAGGCCUAGCUUGGUGUGAAGCCAAGAACAGGAGUUUAAUGUUCAA
Diceros bicornis minor is the source of this 711-nucleotide long non-coding RNA. RefSeq lists it as uncharacterized. The record is from RefSeq and is a predicted model, not a curated record. NCBI's taxonomy places the organism in Eukaryota, Metazoa, Chordata, Mammalia, Perissodactyla, Rhinocerotidae. The transcript is spliced from 3 exons.